Molecule: ribosomal RNA, 254 nt
Filed under: uncultured bacterium
Lineage: Bacteria
Description: partial 16S ribosomal RNA
Rfam family: Bacterial small subunit ribosomal RNA
Source: RNAcentral
UACGUAGGGUCCGAGCGUUGUCCGGAAUUAUUGGGCGUAAAGAGCUCGUAGGCGGUCUGUCGCGUCGAUCGUGAAAACUUGGGGCUUAACCCUGAGCUUGCGGUCGAUACGGGCAUGACUGGAGUUCGGCAGGGGAGACUGGAAUUCCUGGUGUAGUGGUGAAAUGCGCAGAUAUCAGGAGGAACACCGGUGGCGAAGGCGCCACUCUGGGCCGGUACUGACGCUGAGGAGCGAAAGCGUGGGUAGCAAACAGG